Molecule: long non-coding RNA, 742 nt
Filed under: Fukomys damarensis (Damara mole-rat)
Lineage: Eukaryota; Metazoa; Chordata; Mammalia; Rodentia; Bathyergidae
Description: lncRNA (ENSFDAG00000030485.1)
Source: RNAcentral
AUGAGGAAGGCCCCACCGAGCACUGCUGGGAACACCAGGCCACUUCAGCAGGCCGCACAGAGGUCCCGCUCAGCCAAGGCCGCAGAUCAGCAGGCCGGGCCUGGAGGUCGUGGGACAAGAUGUGCCCAGGGUGAUGCGAUGCUCAGCCUUCAGCCCAGGGGCACCUCCUUCCGCACUCUGUGCUGCUCAGGUACUCGAGGGGCAGAGCUAACCACUGAGGCUCAGGUGGCAGCCACAGUGUCACUUAUAACUGCGAAAAGACGGGGUCGGCUGCAACGGCCAACACUGGAAAAGCAUCUCCGUCAGUGCUGGGGGAGCCACAUCGGGGACCGCCGCCUGUACAAGUGUUGGCGAUGGGACUCAGCAGCACGACACAGUUGCCCAGGAUGCACAAGCUCAGAGUCACAUACGAACGUGGGAGAAAGAGUGUGUGCCCAGCACAAAACUGAAAAGGGAAGAGAAACUGCAUUAACCGGCCUUCAGGGGCACACCUUUCCCCAGCACUGCAGUGGCAGACCAGCGCCCCGACCGGCCGUCCUCGGACCGCUCAGCAUGCAGGAGGACUAGCCCCACGCGGCCGCUGUGCAGCUCGCCCGUGUCCCACAGCCAAUCUUCAAUCAGCCCCAAAGCCCCUGAAUUCCCCACAGCUCGGCCCACAGCACGGCCGGCUUUGGGUGCCACUGGCUACAUAUAUUGAACCUGAAGCAUCGGAUUGCAUAUUUGUUCAAUAGCAAUAAACUCC